UCCCAUAUGGUGUAGUGGUUAGCAUAACGCUCUCUCAUCUCGAUGUGUUCAGCGUAGACCCUGGUUCGAUUCCUGGUAUGGGAG
This 84-nucleotide transfer RNA is filed under the name Parascedosporium putredinis. It matches the Rfam family "tRNA". From Rfam's summary of the family: Transfer RNA (tRNA) molecules are approximately 80 nucleotides in length. Their secondary structure includes four short double-helical elements and three loops (D, anti-codon, and T loops). The record is from Rfam by way of RNAcentral. Lineage: Eukaryota; Fungi; Ascomycota; Sordariomycetes; Microascales; Microascaceae.